This 811-nucleotide long non-coding RNA is filed under the name Homo sapiens (human). RNAcentral describes it as "HSALNT0144608". The record is from RNAcentral. Lineage: Eukaryota; Metazoa; Chordata; Mammalia; Primates; Hominidae.
UACAAAUUAAAUCAUGUGGCAUGUCAGAUGGAGAUUACCAUGAACAAAAGAACACUGGAUAGGGAGUUCCUGAGUUAUUACGGUGGCACUUUUACUUAGCACAGUCAGGAAAGAGCUCCUGUAAAUGGUGACAAUUGAGGAAACACCUGGAGGAGGUAAAGAAGUCAGCCCAUGGAUAUCUGGGUCAGAAGCACUCCAGGCAGAGGGAUGAGCAAACACAGACACCCUGAGAAAGGAAUGCAGCUGGCAUGGUGGAGGAGUAGCCCAAAGGCCAAUGUGAGUGUGGCCCAAGCAGGGAGAAUGAAGAGACAACAGGUGAUAUCUUUCCAGAACAUUUACAUGUUUCAUCUUACGAUAAACUAAUGAAAGAGACAUCAUUAAUAUAACCAGGAAGUUCAAGCACCACACACUACAUGGCAGUACUGAGGGCAAGCUACACAUCUCAUUUCCUCUUCCCCGAAAGUAUUCCAUUUUUCCCCGGUUCUGUAUGUGGACUGGUGGUCAAAUCUGUCUCAAGCGUGUUUGGAAGACUGUCACUACGCUAACAACAAUAACAUCAGAAAUCAAGGAUCAACAGAGAAAGCAAUAUUUUCAGUGGAUAUUAUCUAACUACUGAAAAGUUCAUCACUUAAUAAAAUAGAUAUUUUUUCUCAUUUUAAACAUUUGUAAUGUAUGUAUUCCAGAAAUACAUCAAUCAUUUCUGUGUAUUCUUUUAAUAAAUUGCACAUGCUGUAACCUUUCCAUGAUGCCUCGAGAUCACAAUCACGCAUUGUAAUUACCAAGUUAUUCUGUCUAACCCGUAUAUCAUCUG